Molecule: ribosomal RNA, 443 nt
Filed under: uncultured bacterium
Lineage: Bacteria
Description: partial 16S ribosomal RNA
Rfam family: Bacterial small subunit ribosomal RNA
Source: RNAcentral
CCUACGGGUGGCAGCAGUGGGGAAUAUUGGGCAAUGGGCGCAAGCCUGACCCAGCAACGCCGCGUGAAGGAAGAAGGCUUUCGGUUUGUAAACUUCUUUUCUCAGGGACGAAGCAAUUGCCGGUACCUGAGGAAUAAGCCACGGCUAACUACGUGCCAGCAGCCGCGGUAAUACGUAGGUGGCAAGCGUUAUCCGGAUUUACUGGGUGUAAAGGGCGUGUAGGCGGGGAAGCAAGUCAGAUGUGAAAACCAUGGGCUCAACCUGUGGCCUGCAUUUGAAACUGUUUUUCUUGAGUGCUGGAGAGGCAGGCGGAAUUCCUAGUGUAGCGGUGAAAUGCGUAGAUAUUAGGAGGAACACCAGUGGCGAAGGCGGUCUGCUGGACAGCAACUGACGCUGAGGCGCGAAAGCGUGGGGAGCAAACAGGAUUAGAUACCCCAGUAGUC